Molecule: long non-coding RNA, 1157 nt
Organism: Astatotilapia calliptera (eastern happy)
Lineage: Eukaryota; Metazoa; Chordata; Actinopteri; Cichliformes; Cichlidae
Source: Ensembl
GAAUGAGUAACUGAGGGCCUGUCUACUUAUUUUCAUCUGGAAGCCAUAACUGUGCAAGCAGAUCAGGUGGAGCGUUUACAGUAUGCAGGUGGUGACAAAAACCAUUAGUGAAGGAUGUGCAUGCCUGUUGGGGACGUGGUGACUAAUUCAGCUCUCGUGUUGCUUUCUAAGUUACAGUGCGACUACGAGAAGGCCAGGGGCUCCGCCCCUCCAGCGUUGACCAGAACCCGAACGCACGCUGUUGACUAACCAGCCUCGCUCUGAUGAAAGCAGAGAGGGGCCUAUUGUCUCUCUUCACCGGUGUGUUCGUGGUCCACUACAUCACCGCUCUCAACCAUGUAAACAGCUCUCACAGCAGCACCCUCUGCCAUCUCCACGCACGUCAACAUUUGGAUAAAAAACAAUUUGUGGAUAGUGGUCCAGCAUGAGGAUUGUAAAAAUACAUUAGGAAGGGACAUUAGUAAUAUUACAGGGCCAUAUGUGUGGCAGACCACUGAGGUCACCUGACACUGAAGGUCACCUCUUGCAGUUGAAAUUAUUAAGUGCUUCCCCUCUAAUCAGAUGAGACGUCCCACAUACUGCCCGUGCACAUAGCAACCAGUUUAUUUAUAAGCCUCAAACUGAAAUGACCAGUUGGUUUAAUUUAAUAGUGAGCAAUAGGAUUAUACAUGGAAACAAAUUACCUAAGUGGGGGUACUCACUACAAAAAAAAACAAAAAAACAACUCUUUUAACAAUGAUGGAAACCACGGACAUGAUGUCUCCCAGUAUUAUUUCAUUAUUGGGUUUAGCCCCUGCAUCUGUCAGCUAGGCCUGGCUUCUGGAUGGGCCCAGCUUGUGUCCAGACUGACGCACAGCUGCUAGCAGCUCGCACAGACCCACGCCCCGGCCAUCCCACACUCCAGGGUCACAAAUGGGAAGGGCAGCAUACUAUCCCACCACCAACCACACACCCUAUUACCCAAUUACAAUUCAAUUUCCCAGCCUGCUGCGGUCAAAAGAAACAACACGUACUCUAUCUGCAGAUCAUGAUAUCUGUUAUUUCGUCUCCCACAUGCUCCCGGUGGGGAGCAUCUAUUGUGGAGUCGAGCCUCUUUAAACGUGAGGAAGAGCAGACAUUAUUUAAUGUGAUGGAGUACAAGGGGCCGAUAUCAGCAU